GGAUGAACGCUGGCGACAGGCCUAACACAUGCAAGUCGAGGGGCAGCACGAGGUAGCAAUACUAGGGUGGCGACCGGCGGACGGGUGAGUAACACGUAUGCAACCUGCCCGUAAUCGGGGGAUAACCCGGAGAAAUUCGGACUAACACUCCAUGUAUCUGUAUUAUUGCAUGAUAAAACAGAAAAACGCAAGGAUUACGGAUGGGCAUGCGGAUGAUUAGCUGGUUGGCGGGGUAACGGCCCACCAAGGCGACGAUCAUUAGGGGUUCUGAGAGGAAGGUCCCCCACAUUGGAACUGAGAAACGGUCCAAACUCCUACGGGAGGCAGCAGUGAGGAAUAUUGGACAAUGGAUGGAAAUCUGAUCCAGCCAUGCCGCGUGCAGGAAGACAGCCCUAUGGGUUGUAAACUGCUUUUAUAUGGGAGCAAUAAGGUCUACGUGUAGACUGAUGAGAGUACCAUAUGAAUAAGCAUCGGCUAACUCCGUGCCAGCAGCCGCGGUAAUACGGAGGAUGCGAGCGUUAUCCGGAUUUAUUGGGUUUAAAGGGUGCGUAGGCGGCCGAGUAAGUCAGCGGUGAAAUUUUGCAGCUUAACUGUAACAGUGCCGUUGAUACUGCAUGGCUAGGAUUUGGUUGCUGUGGGUGGAAUGUGUGGUGUAGCGGUGAAAUGCUUAGAUAUCACACAGAAUAUCAAUUGCGAAGGCAGCUCACAAAGCCAAGAUUGACGCUGAGGCACGAAAGUGUGGGGAUCAAACAGGAUUAGAUACCCUGGUAGUCCACACUGUAAACGAUGAUAACUCACUGCCGGCGAUACACAGUCGGUGGCCAAGCGAAAGCGAUAAGUUAUCCACCUGGGGAGUACGACCGCAAGGUUGAAACUCAAAGGAAUUGACGGGGGCCCGCACAAGCGGAGGAACAUGUGGUUUAAUUCGAUGAUACGCGAGGAACCUUACCCGGGCUCGAACGGUGCAUGAAUAAGCAAGAGAUUGUUUAGUCCUUCGGGACAUGUAUCGAGGUGCUGCAUGGUUGUCGUCAGCUCGUGCCGUGAGGUGUAGGCUUAAGUGCCAUAACGAGCGCAACCCUUGUCGUUAGUUGCCAUCAGGUAAUGCUGGGAACUCUAGCGAGACUGCCACCGUAAGGUGUGAGGAGGGGGGGGAUGACGUCAAAUCAGCACGGCCCUUAUGUCCGGGGCGACACACGUGUUACAAUGGGGGGUACAGAGGGCAGCCAUCCGGUGACGGAGCGCUAAUCUCCAAAACCCUUCUCAGUUCGGAUUGGAGUCUGCAACCCGACUCCAUGAAGUUGGAUUCGCUAGUAAUCGCGCAUCAGCCAUGGCGCGGUGAAUACGUUCCCGGGCCU
Molecule: ribosomal RNA, 1355 nt
Filed under: uncultured bacterium
Lineage: Bacteria
Description: bacterial SSU rRNA
Rfam family: Bacterial small subunit ribosomal RNA
Source: RNAcentral